This is a long non-coding RNA of Chiroxiphia lanceolata (lance-tailed manakin), 1354 nucleotides long. RefSeq lists it as uncharacterized. Lineage: Eukaryota; Metazoa; Chordata; Aves; Passeriformes; Pipridae. The transcript is spliced from 4 exons. The record is from RefSeq and is a predicted model, not a curated record.
GGGACAGGGACAGGGGAAGGUGGUGGUGGCUUGUCCAGGGUCCCCACCAGGCCUCUUCCCUCAGCACCAUGCCCCUGGGUCUGCAGCCUAAAAAGCAUAGUUAGUGUUUAUAUUAAGGAAUCGGUUUAAGCAACACCAACAGACACUAUUCUGCCCCACAAUCACAGACUCACUGAGGCUGGAAAACACCUCUGAGACCAUCAUGUCCAAUAUUUGACCAGCACCACUUGUCGACCAGCCCAGAGCACUGAGGGCCACGUCCAGUGUUCCUUGAUGUGAUGGGGAAGGAAGCACCUAAGAUGGUUUUAUAGCCUUGAUCUCCAAGGAUUUCCCAACAUGACUCAGCUCGAUCUUCAAAGAGGGGGGAAGGUUUGGCAGCAGUUUGCAGUCAGAGGAACAGACCUGUUGCAGCGAAGAACCAGCAGAGACCAGGAUUCCUGAACGUCAGUCCCUGUGGUGCUCACGUUGGACAAGUGCAGUAUUGAGGAAACCAGUGAGGCAGCAGCAGCAGACACGAGUGAAUGGAAGAUGCAUCUUCCUGGAGAGCAUGUGCUGUGUUAGUACAGGAGGAGGAGCAGCUGUCCCCCUGCAGUCUGCCUGAAAUUUAAUCCUGUAGGGUUUCUGAAAAAGAGAAGUUUGAAGCUUUUCUUGAACAGUAACAUCCAGGGAAAGCAGUGAAUGUGGGCACACUGUGGUUGCUGAAGUCCAGGAGGAAGCUGAGUGAGACUGGGGUUGUUUGGUUGCAAAGAGCACAGUGAAAUAAUUCACACAACACAUCUUGGAGAGAAGAAGUAUUUUCUUUUGCCAGAGGAAAAAAACAGGUGGGAGAAAGAGGUAAUUAAAUGUUUUCCUAAUAGUUCUGUCUUGUGGUUGGUUGACUUGAGUGCAUAUGGAUGCUCAAGUUCCAAAUGAAACUUUUCCUGCUUAUUUUUUUGGUCAUGUAGACAGAUUUUCUCUUUCUGUGUCUUUGCUUUUGCUUUUUUUUUUCUUUUCUUAAUUGGGGCUCUUUAACCUCAAGUGAAGCAUCUCUUUUCAUGAGGCUUUCAAGAAUAUAUUGAUCAUAUCCUUAUCUCUGAAACUAGUCCCAGAUCCCAGCUCUGGUUGAGUUGCCCUCACUAUAUCCCCACUCAUGUCAGGAUAGGACCAAUUACAUACCUUUUACUGCCACUUGCACAAAUUGCAGAGCUUUGGAGGAGGCCACUGCACACUCCACCAAGUCCCUUGGCGUGGAUGAUCCGAGGGACAGGACUGUGACCAGACUGAGGAAGGAGAAGGCCAGGGAAGCAGAAAUUGCACACACCUUUGAGGAGGGACUCGGUGGCUCAGGACAGGGAGCCUUGGGCUCAUUCAAAAG